AACAGACGCCCAGACAGAAGGUGACUGACUGUUGGUCUCAUAGCAAUGCUUGGGGUGAACUAAUUAGAAAAGAGGAUUUAAGAACCACAAAUGUCCCCAGGGAAACCAGGGCUAUGUGCCCUGUGUGAAUGUUUUACUGACACCAGCUCAUUUAAUCUUCUUAUCAACCUUAAGGGCGAAAACACCCUCACUGAUAACCUUGCCACGCGUAGUAGACAGAUGCAGCGCUACAAUCCCACUGUGGAGAGAUCUGGAGGACAGUGAUGGAGGAAAAUCUUCCCAGUGGGCAGAACAUGAACAGUUCAUCUGGUUGUUUGUUUUGCCUGGAAGGAGCAAUGGCUAGAGGCACUGUUGUGGUCUCUCCCAUUGCGGAGCACAGGCUCCAGACGCGCAGG
This is a non-coding RNA of Delphinapterus leucas (beluga whale), 395 nucleotides long. Lineage: Eukaryota; Metazoa; Chordata; Mammalia; Artiodactyla; Monodontidae. The record is from RefSeq and is a predicted model, not a curated record.